GUGCCUAAUACAUGCAAGUAGAACGCUGAAGACUUUAGNCUUGCUAAAGUUGGAAGAGUUGCGAACGGGUGAGUAACGCGUAGGUAACCUGCCUACUAGCGGGGGAUAACUAUUGGAAACGAUAGCUAAUACCGCAUAACAGCAUUUAACCCAUGUUAGAUGCUUGAAAGGAGCAAUUGCUUCACUAGUAGAUGGACCUGCGUUGUAUUAGCUAGUUGGUGAGGUAACGGCUCACCAAGGCGACGAUACAUAGCCGACCUGAGAGGGUGAUCGGCCACACUGGGACUGAGACACGGCCCAGACUCCUACGGGAGGCAGCAGUAGGGAAUCUUCGGCAAUGGGGGCAACCCUGACCGAGCAACGCCGCGUGAGUGAAGAAGGUUUUCGGAUCGUAAAGCUCUGUUGUAAGAGAAGAACGUGUGUGAGAGUGGAAAGUUCACACAGUGACGGUAACUUACCAGAAAGGGACGGCUAACUACGUGCCAGCAGCCGCGGUAAUACGUAGGUCCCGAGCGUUGUCCGGAUUUAUUGGGCGUAAAGCGAGCGCAGGCGGUUUAAUAAGUCUGAAGUUAAAGGCAGUGGCUUAACCAUUGUUCGCUUUGGAAACUGUUAGACUUGAGUGCAGAAGGGGAGAGUGGAAUCCCAUGUGUAGCGGUGAAAUGCG
RNAcentral lists this ribosomal RNA (664 nucleotides) under Streptococcus infantarius. RNAcentral's name for it is "bacterial SSU rRNA". It matches the Rfam family "Bacterial small subunit ribosomal RNA", at positions 44 to 690 of the family's 1533-position model. Lineage: Bacteria; Bacillati; Bacillota; Bacilli; Lactobacillales; Streptococcaceae. The record is from RNAcentral.